RNAcentral lists this ribosomal RNA (146 nucleotides) under uncultured eukaryote. RNAcentral describes it as "partial small subunit ribosomal RNA". It matches the Rfam family "Eukaryotic small subunit ribosomal RNA", at positions 1296 to 1462 of the family's 1831-position model. The record is from RNAcentral.
AGUUCGUGGAGUGAUUUGUCUGGUUAAUUCCGUUAACGAACGAGAUUUUACCUAGCUAAUUGGGCACUCGAAGAUGUUCUUCGCUGCGCCGCCAUUAGAAGGAUCCAGUGCAUUCAGCACAAGGAAGCGUGAAGCAAUAACAGGUC